This 1204-nucleotide ribosomal RNA is filed under the name metagenome. RNAcentral describes it as "bacterial SSU rRNA". It matches the Rfam family "Bacterial small subunit ribosomal RNA", at positions 298 to 1520 of the family's 1533-position model. The record is from RNAcentral.
GGAUGUACGGCCACAUUGGACUGAGACACGGCCCAGACUCCUACGGGAGGCAGCAGUGGGGAAUAUUGCACAAUGGGGGAAACCCUGAUGCAGCGACGCCGCGUGGAGGAAGAAGGUCUUCGGAUUGUAAACUCCUGUUGUUGAGGAAGAUAAUGACGGUACUCAACAAGGAAGUGACGGCUAAAUACGUGCCAGCAGCCGCGGUAAUACGUAUGGUGCAAGCGUUAUCCGGAUUUACUGGGUGUAAAGGGAGCGUAGGUGGCAAGGCAAGCCAGAAGUGAAAACCCGGGGCUCAACCGCGGGAUUGCUUUUGGAACUGUCAUGCUAGAGUGCAGGAGGGGUGAGCGGAAUUCCUAGUGUAGCGGUGAAAUGCGUAGAUAUUAGGAGGAACACCGGAGGCGAAGGCGGCUCACUGGACUGUAACUGACACUGAGGCUCGAAAGCGUGGGGAGCAAACAGGAUUAGAUACCCUGGUAGUCCACGCGGUAAACGAUGAAUACUAGAUGUCGGGUAGCAAAGCUACUCGGUGUCGUCGCAAACGCAAUAAGUAUUCCACCUGGGGAGUACGUUCGCAAGAAUGAAACUCAAAGGAAUUGACGGGGACCCGCACAAGCGGUGGAGCAUGUGGUUUAAUUCGAAGCAACGCGAAGAACCUUACCUGCUCUUGACAUCCCAUUCGAUAGAGGGUAAUGCCUCUAGCCCUUCGGGGGAAUGGAGACAGGUGGUGCAUGGUUGUCGUCAGCUCGUGUCGUGAGAUGUUGGGUUAAGUCCCGCAACGAGCGCAACCCUUAUUGUCAGUAGCCAGCAGGUCGCGCUGGGCACUCUGAUGAGACUGCCGGGGAUAACCCGGAGGAAGGUGGGGAUGACGUCAAAUCAUCAUGCCCCUUAUGAGCAGGGCUACACACGUGCUACAAUGGCGUAAACAGAGGGAAGCGAAGGAGUGAUCUGGAGCAAAUCUCAAAAAUAACGUCUCAGUUCGGAUUGUAGUCUGCAACUCGACUACAUGAAGCUGGAAUCGCUAGUAAUCGCAGAUCAGAAUGCUGCGGUGAAUACGUUCCCGGGUCUUGUACACACCGCCCGUCACACCAUGGGAGUCGGUAAUGCCCGAAGUCAGUGACUCAACCGAAAGGAGAGAGCUGCCGAAGGCAGGACUGGUAACUGGGGUGAAGUCGUAACAAGGUAGCCGUAUCGGAAGGUGCGGCUG